This 158-nucleotide small RNA is filed under the name bovine gut metagenome. RNAcentral describes it as "ydaO/yuaA leader". It matches the Rfam family "c-di-AMP riboswitch aptamer (ydaO/yuaA leader)". From Rfam's summary of the family: This family represents a conserved RNA structure found upstream of the ydaO and yuaA genes in Bacillus subtilis and related genes in other bacteria. The record is from RNAcentral.
UACAGCCGAAUCCAGCCCAGGAGCGGGGGAACCAAAGUUUUGGGGUGAACGCUUUCCUUAUCUGUGCAGAUGACAAGAGUCACGGCAGAUGAAAUUGGCGAGGGUGGUCUUCUCUACCCUAACCCGGCAGCUAACCUCGUAGGCGCAUCGAGAGAGGA